AGAGUUUGAUCAUGGCUCAGGACGAACGCUGGCGGCGUGCCUAACACAUGCAAGUCGAACGGUAGCACAGAGGAGCUUGCUCCUUGGGUGACGAGUGGCGGACGGGUGAGUAAUGUCUGGGAAACUGCCCGAUGGAGGGGGAUAACUACUGGAAACGGUAGCUAAUACCGCAUAACGUCGCAAGACCAAAGAGGGGGACCUUCGGGCCUCUUGCCAUCGGAUGUGCCCAGAUGGGAUUAGCUAGUAGGUGGGGUAACGGCUCACCUAGGCGACGAUCCCUAGCUGGUCUGAGAGGAUGACCAGCCACACUGGAACUGAGACACGGUCCAGACUCCUACGGGAGGCAGCAGUGGGGAAUCUUCGGCAAUGGACGAAAGUCUGACCGAGCAACGCCGCGUGAGUGAAGAAGGCCUUCGGGUUGUAAAGUACUUUCAGCGAGGAGGAAGGCAUUAAGGUUAAUAACCUUGGUGAUUGACGUUACUCGCAGAAGAAGCACCGGCUAACUCCGUGCCAGCAGCCGCGGUAAUUC
RNAcentral lists this ribosomal RNA (529 nucleotides) under uncultured bacterium. RNAcentral describes it as "bacterial SSU rRNA". It matches the Rfam family "Bacterial small subunit ribosomal RNA", at positions 8 to 526 of the family's 1533-position model. The record is from RNAcentral.